GCAUUGAUGGUGUAGCGGUAACAUGCGGUCUUCCCAGGUUGUUCCCAGGUAUCUUGGCCGCGCUCCGAGUUCGACUCUCGGUCAAUGCA
Molecule: non-coding RNA, 89 nt
Organism: Suillus clintonianus
Lineage: Eukaryota; Fungi; Basidiomycota; Agaricomycetes; Boletales; Suillaceae
Source: the annotation of a RefSeq genome assembly